RNAcentral lists this ribosomal RNA (253 nucleotides) under uncultured bacterium. Its description in RNAcentral is "partial 16S ribosomal RNA". It matches the Rfam family "Bacterial small subunit ribosomal RNA", at positions 524 to 776 of the family's 1533-position model. The record is from RNAcentral.
UACGUAGGGGGCAAGCGUUGUCCGGAAUCAUUGGGCGUAAAGAGCGUGUAGGCGGUUCGGUAAGUCGGCUGUGAAAGUCCAAGGCUCAACCCUGGGAUGCCGGUCGAUACUGCCGGACUAGAGUUCGGAAGAGGCGAGUGGAAUUCCCGGUGUAGCGGUGAAAUGCGCAGAUAUCGGGAGGAACACCUAUGGCGAAGGCAGCUCGCUGGGACGUUACUGACGCUGAGACGCGAAAGCGUGGGGAGCAAACAGG